This is a long non-coding RNA of Adelges cooleyi (spruce gall adelgid), 714 nucleotides long. RefSeq lists it as uncharacterized. NCBI's taxonomy places the organism in Eukaryota, Metazoa, Arthropoda, Insecta, Hemiptera, Adelgidae. The record is from RefSeq and is a predicted model, not a curated record. The transcript is spliced from 4 exons.
CGAACGGCGAUCACCUGCCGUUGUGGCUCUGACUCACGUCCGACCCUUACCGAACAUAACUUCUUCAUAAUAAUUAUUUUAAUGUACUUGUUUUUCGUGAAAUAUCGGAGUAUCCAUCAAUCGUUAAUUAUUAUUAUUGUAAAUCCCACGGUGGCCCGACACUUUGUUAUGAUAUCCGCUGCGGAUAAACCGACGGACACAUGGAAUUUCAAGCGAAAACUUUGUUAUUUGAUGGUGCAGCUACAAAACUACAGAGUGUAUGAUCUUCUAUGGCGCGGAGCCAUGAGAAUUCAAAUAGCCACUUUUUAAGUCGAUGGUGCAGCUACAAAACUUAUGCGCAGCCAGGAGAAUUCCAACCGCCAAAGUAGCUGUUGCAAUACGAGUAAAGUGGAUGGUGGAGCUAUAAAUCUACAGUGUGUUUGCUUGUAUAGGACUCAGUAAGAAGAAUUACAAUCGUCGGAAAUGAUGCUGCAAAGGAUACUCAUUAUCUGAGUAUAUUUCUGGAUUUAUAGAAGCCUAGUUUUAAAGUAUUCUAUUCGUUUUUAUUUAUAAUUUCUCUAUAAACAUGUACAUUUACCAGAACCAUGCUCGUUUAAGUUCACAGUUGGAAGUGCCAAAACAUUUUGUCCGUUAAACUCAUUUGCGUCAUUAGUUAUAAAUAGAGAGCACAAUUUUUUUUCGACCAAGUUUACAAAACUUAAAAUUAGAAAUAAA